This 695-nucleotide ribosomal RNA is filed under the name uncultured bacterium. RNAcentral's name for it is "bacterial SSU rRNA". It matches the Rfam family "Bacterial small subunit ribosomal RNA", at positions 32 to 715 of the family's 1533-position model. The record is from RNAcentral.
AACGCUAGCUACAGGCUUAACACAUGCAAGUCGAGGGGCAGCAUGAACUUAGCUUGCUAAGUUUGAUGGCGACCGGCGCACGGGUGAGUAACGCGUAUCCGACCUUCCCCUGUCCCGGGUAUAGCCUUCCGAAAGGAAGAUUAAUCCCCGAUGGUGUCAAGGGUCUGCAUGGAACCUUGACUAAAGUAUUUUACGGACAGGGAUGGGGGUGCGUCCCAUUAGGUUGUUGGCGGGGUAACGGCCCACCAAGCCGACGAUGGGUAGGGGUUCUGAGAGGAAGGCCCCCCACAUUGGAACUGAGACACGGUCCAAACUCCUACGGGAGGCAGCAGUGAGGAAUAUUGGUCAAUGGCCGUAAGGCUGAACCAGCCAAGUAGCGUGGAGGAUGACUGCCCUACGGGUUGUAAACCUCUUUUGCNCGGGGACAAAGUUCCCCAUGCGUGGCGUUUUGCGGGUACCUCNCGAAUAAGGACCGGCUAAUUCCGUGCCAGCAGCCGCGGUAAUACGGAAGGUCCGGGCGUUAUCCGGAUUCAUUGGGUUUAAAGGGAGCGCAGGCCGCCUNUUAAGCGUGCCGUGAAAUGCCGCGGCUCAACCAUGGAACUGCAGCUGAACCUGGAUGGCUUGAGUGCGCNGAAAGCAGGCGGAACUCGUGGUGUAACGGUGAAAUGCUUAGAUAUCACGAAGAACUCCGAUUG